UGUUAUAAGGUCUUUACCAGGUGC
This 24-nucleotide non-coding RNA is filed under the name Drosophila melanogaster (fruit fly). The record is from RNAcentral. Lineage: Eukaryota; Metazoa; Arthropoda; Insecta; Diptera; Drosophilidae.